Long non-coding RNA from Leptidea sinapis, 1370 nucleotides. RefSeq lists it as uncharacterized. The record is from RefSeq and is a predicted model, not a curated record. The transcript has 3 exons. NCBI's taxonomy places the organism in Eukaryota, Metazoa, Arthropoda, Insecta, Lepidoptera, Pieridae.
UACAUACAUUAUAGUGAUAUUGUAAGGCAAUGAUAUAUUGUCAAUUUUCCUGGUUGAUAGUUUAUGAGGCCGUCUAUGAUUGGAGUAUAGUGAUUAUAGGAUUGAGAGUGAACAUUUAUAAAAUGAAUAUGGGUGUUUUUUUUCUAGUCAUGGAUGUAUACAUCACAUGGUAUACAUAUUAUUUUUCUUUAAUAUUUUACUAGUCUCUUUCUCUAGCGAUUCUAAUAGAAUUUACACAGGGAGACAACCCAUGUUAAAAUGAUUUUAAUUAUGCUACUUCUUAUAGUGAAUUUUCAUACGACUUUCAACUUUCCAAAUUUAAAUCAUUUUAAUAAUUAGAGAAUAUCUUCAAUAUUAUCUACCGUUGCGUUUUGAAUGUUUAAAAAAGUUUAACAAAAAAACAACCGACUUCAAAAACACUAUUCCAAAACAAUAGAUAUAAUAUGCACUAAAAAGUAUAAAAAUAAUUGCGUAUUUUCUGUAAAAUCUAAUUAAUUAAUCUAAUUCUAGUUACGAUUUAUGUAAUUUUUUCCUAAUUACAAUGGGACCACAUGGGAAGCACCAGCUUUCAAUUAAACAAAAUAAUUAUCAAAAUCGGUUCACUCAGUCGAAAGUUUUGAGGUAAUAAACAUAAAAUACCGACGAAUUGAGAUCCUCCUGUUUUGAAGUCGGUUAAAAAGACUUGCUUUACUUCAACAUGACGUAUAAUGGGACAUAUUCGAGCGGGAGCUGUGUAAAAUCCUUUACGAGGGUCAGUUUGAUGUGUUUGUCUUACAAUAAGUAGUAAAGUGUGUGUAUGUACGCGUGUGUUAUGUCACAGUGUUUGUCGCGGGCGCCUGGCAUCUCGCCAGCCGCCACUCUUACACACACUAUUACAACACCCACACGCGAAUACCUCGACCAUAUAUUCUGCGACGCCACUUUAAAAACGCUGAUAAUGCCCAUGUGUCACAAGGAAUCUUUAUUUUCGAGGGACAGCUCUCUCUCUAAUACUAACUAUUUGAUAUUCUUAAUAUAAAAUGUGGUUUUGAAGCCCCUGUCAAGGUUGAUUUAAGGUUGGAUUAUAAAUAAGUUGUGCGAGCAAUGUCGCGGCACCUGUUUGCUAUUAUAAUGAUACGUCUGUGAUUUGGACACGGAACUUGAUCGCAUUGUUACGACAAUGCUGACCUUUCUCUGACAACGAUGAUAUAGACGCGAACCUCGCCUGUGUAUAACACAAACUCAAUAUAUUUAUAUCACCUUAUGGCGUCCACGUUGUCUGCGCUGGGUUCUGUGGACGUGAAGCCGUUGGGGACCAGAGCGGCGCUCAUAGCAGCCUCCACCCAGAAUAUGGCUGACAGAAUAAUGAAGCAGUACCGGAACAGUGGGGA